RNAcentral lists this ribosomal RNA (166 nucleotides) under uncultured bacterium. Its description in RNAcentral is "partial 16S ribosomal RNA". It matches the Rfam family "Bacterial small subunit ribosomal RNA", at positions 1335 to 1500 of the family's 1533-position model. The record is from RNAcentral.
CUAGUAAUCGCGGAUCAGAAUGCCGCGGUGAAUACGUUCCCGGGUCUUGUACACACCGCCCGUCACACCAUGGGAGUCGGAAAUGCCCGAAGUCUGUGACCCAACCGUAAGGAGGGAGCAGCCGAAGGCAGGUCGGAUGACUGGGGUGAAGUCGUAACAAGGUACC